GAUGAACGCUGGCGGCGUGCCUAAUACAUGCAAGUCGAGCGAACGGACGAGAAGCUUGCUUCUCUGAUGUUAGCGGCGGACGGGUGAGUAACACGUGGAUAACCUACCUAUAAGACUGGGAUAACUUCGGGAAACCGGAGCUAAUACCGGAUAAUAUUUUGAACCGCAUGGUUCAAAAGUAAAAGACGGUCUUGCUGUCACUUAUAGAUGGAUCCGCGCUGCAUUAGCUAGUUGGUAAGGUAACGGCUUACCAAGGCAACGAUGCAUAGCCGACCUGAGAGGGUGAUCGGCCACAUUGGAACUGAGACACGGUCCAGACUCCUACGGGAGGCAGCAGUAGGGAAUCUUCCGCAAUGGGCGAAAGCCUGACGGAGCAACGCCGCGUGAGUGAUGAAGGUCUUCGGAUCGUAAAACUCUGUUAUUAGGGAAGAACAUAUGUGUAAGUAACUGUGCACAUCUUGACGGUACCUAAUCAGAAAGCCACGGCUAACUACGUG
This 497-nucleotide ribosomal RNA is filed under the name uncultured bacterium. RNAcentral's name for it is "partial 16S ribosomal RNA". It matches the Rfam family "Bacterial small subunit ribosomal RNA", at positions 28 to 507 of the family's 1533-position model. The record is from RNAcentral.